UGGGGAAUAUUGGACAAUGGGCGCAAGCCUGAUCCAGCCAUGCCGCGUGAGUGAUGAAGGCCUUAGGGUUGUAAAGCUCUUUCGUCCGGGACGAUAAUGACGGUACCGGAAGAAGAAGCCCCGGCUAACUUCGUGCCAGCAGCCGCGGUAAUACGAAGGGGGCUAGCGUUGUUCGGAAUCACUGGGCGUAAAGGGCGCGUAGGCGGCUUUGUAAGUCGGGGGUGAAAGCCUGUGGCUCAACCACAGAAUUGCCUUCGAUACUGCAUGGCUUGAGACCGGAAGAGGUAAGUGGAACUGCGAGUGUAGAGGUGAAAUUCGUAGAUAUUCGCAAGAACACCAGUGGCGAAGGCGGCUUACUGGUCCGGUUCUGACGCUGAGGCGCGAAAGCGUGGGGAGCAAACAGG
This 404-nucleotide ribosomal RNA is filed under the name Bacillota bacterium. RNAcentral describes it as "Firmicutes bacterium partial 16S ribosomal RNA". It matches the Rfam family "Bacterial small subunit ribosomal RNA", at positions 355 to 776 of the family's 1533-position model. The record is from RNAcentral. RNAcentral also lists the same sequence under 1 other name. Lineage: Bacteria; Bacillati; Bacillota.